RNAcentral lists this long non-coding RNA (200 nucleotides) under Salvia miltiorrhiza (redroot sage). RNAcentral describes it as "long non-coding RNA (SMIL_LNC001792)". The record is from RNAcentral. Lineage: Eukaryota; Viridiplantae; Streptophyta; Magnoliopsida; Lamiales; Lamiaceae.
AUCUUGAUUUCCGGCCGACGAGGUGGCCCGAGCAGCCGAAUGAUGCAUCGAAGGAGUUCUUGAAGCUCCAGUAUCAUGAACUCCGGCCGGCGAGGUAGUCAUUGUACUGCCGGAGCAGCAGCACGAGGAAGCGCCUCAAUCACUCCGAUCUUGGCGACAACGUAAGCUCACGAUCCAGCAGCAGCUCACGUCCGUCUACC